UUCUGUAUGUGCAUAACUAAUGAUAUUACUCUCCAGAUCACACUAUCGCCGCUUAUGGUUCCUAUGCUCUUUAUGCUUAAGGAGAGAAAUUUCUCGUAUUUUUCGCAAGAAGCACACAGUUGGCAGUCCGCUGGGGAGUGUCCUGACCUCGCAAGAACUCUUUGAGAAACUCCGUUACAGACCCAGAACACGCCAUUGGAUCUUCCUUUUCUCAUUCUCUCCUUUAUCUCGCGUCUUGUCCCCGCCGCAAGCACAGUAUUCACAUUGUCAACCUAAAUAGCGAUUCUAAGUUAAUUAUCUAGGAUCACCGUAUCAGCACCCUAAAAAGAAGGUUUAGAGUGAGAAAAUAUAUAUCAAUGACCUUGGAGUAUUCCCCGGGUAAACCGCUAAAUAUAAGCGACCAAUGUGUUCUCGUCACUAAUAAAGCCCACAUUGCACAAUGUAGAAUACUAUGAUGCCAUCACUUUGUUCGCGUAGUCCUGUCCACUUGGAUAUUCUGAGAGACAAGAAGUACAGUUUGUGCUUGAGGUAGGAUCGAAUCGAGUCGAUUUGCUUUCACACUGUAAAGAGGCGAUUCCCACGCUAUAGGGGGGCAUCGGUGGUAAGUACGUAGCUAAUAGCCUGAUCACCAAAAGAGAGCCUAAGGGGGCUGGUAGCACGGGCAUAUUGUUUUGCAGGCACCGAAAUGUCAGCUGUAUUGGGCUCAAUCCUUUGCAAACCCAAUCGCAUUCAUUUACACUGGGGGUCAGUGCAAGGACCCUUACCCUCCAGAGUUCCGGCGGAAAAGUUGAAAGAAAGGGCUUCCAGAGCGUAAGUCUACAGAGACAAGGGCUGCUGGGGCGUAGAACUUUAAGAGAAGCAGGGACUUGAGAAAGGAGGGGUCUUUUUGGAACACCAUAAAAAUAUACCUUCGCGUCCUUUCUGGGCGUUGAAAAACUUGUCUUUCCGAAACUUGAGGCAAAAUCCUUUUAACUGAGUGAUAUACUCGAUGAGGGUUUUCUUUGUUGCUCGGGGGUUCACUACAAAAUUUUACGUUAUAUGAAUGAUUCUGC
Molecule: long non-coding RNA, 1052 nt
Organism: Zophobas morio
Lineage: Eukaryota; Metazoa; Arthropoda; Insecta; Coleoptera; Tenebrionidae
Exons: 5
Source: RefSeq, a predicted model, not a curated record